UGGGUUGUGGCUAAGUGGUAGAGUGCUUGCCUAGCAUGCAUGAGGCACUGGGGUUCGAUCCUCAGCACCACAU
Molecule: non-coding RNA, 73 nt
Organism: Ictidomys tridecemlineatus (thirteen-lined ground squirrel)
Lineage: Eukaryota; Metazoa; Chordata; Mammalia; Rodentia; Sciuridae
Source: Rfam